Long non-coding RNA from Ruditapes philippinarum (Manila clam), 216 nucleotides. RefSeq lists it as uncharacterized. NCBI's taxonomy places the organism in Eukaryota, Metazoa, Mollusca, Bivalvia, Venerida, Veneridae. The transcript has 3 exons. The record is from RefSeq and is a predicted model, not a curated record.
CCCAAUAUUUAUUGAAUUUGGAUAGGAACCAUGAUUGGACAGAUUAUUAUUGUACAGUUUGCUGGCAUAGCAUUUUACACUGAAUCUUUAACCAUAGACCAAUGGCUGUGGUGUAUAUUUUUUGGGGUUGGAACGUUAGUCUGGGGCCAGCUAGUUACAUCUGUACCCACGAAGAGUUUACCGAAACAUUUACAUUGGGGUAAGGGGGAACCAGAA